RNAcentral lists this small RNA (376 nucleotides) under Pan troglodytes (chimpanzee). RNAcentral describes it as "processed transcript". Lineage: Eukaryota; Metazoa; Chordata; Mammalia; Primates; Hominidae. The record is from RNAcentral.
GAGCCUCUAUUCUUACCUUCUGGGAUGCUAGGCUGUAUAAAAUGGCAGUUGGAUUUAUGCUUGCUCAUCCUUAUGGAUUUACACGAGUAAUGUCAAGCUACCGUUGGCCAAGACAGUUUCAAAAUGGAAACGUAAGUUUUGAAAUUGUUCAAACUAUCCUUUUCUCAAGAAACAGAAGGCAAUCUUGUUCUAACUUAAUAUGACGACUAUUAAUUAUAUAUUUAUUCAACAAAUAAUUGAUUAGAAACCUGAUAUAGGGCUGCGAUUUUAGUAAUGCAGGUUAUAUUAAAGGAGUAAAAUAUAUAUUUUCCAUUGACAAAGAGUAUGCAAGCCUUUUCAGAUAUAUGAUAAACAUCCCCCUAGCCCGCAGGAAAAA